UUGGAAUUCUUCAGCCUCCUAAUGUGACUGGACUGCUCAACCUUGGGUGGAGGUAUCUAUUAGCAUCUUUUUUCUUCGUUGGGAGAUUCUGGCUAAUCUGAAAGACACUCAUAACCCAAGGAAGCCAAAGUGAUCUAACUUAUGUGAAUCUGACCAUGCCUGUCCAGCAUUUUAACAGGAAGAUUUACAGGAAUCAAGUGUGAUUGCCGGAGAUGCUACAGUAGAACUCUGUGGACUACUACAGUGGCCAGAAUGAAGAAAAAUGGAUCUCUGAUGCCUUCACUCCAAGACAUCACUGCUAUGAGGAAGAAACCUGCUGUUCCCAGAUAUACACACACAAAGGCUUGUAUGAAACAGGCAAAAAAGGAAAUAGUUUGCCUGCCUAGAAGAAAGAUGACCAGCAACUUGGGAAUAACAGCACUUAUGAAACAACACUCAAAGAAGGAGAAAAUGCUGAGGAAAAAGUACAUAGGUGUCUGGAGCCGGGAGUCAGCACAGGUGAUGGUGAUUAUGACAGCAUUUCCUGUAAUAGAUGCCAGGUAUGCCAGCAGGUGCACCAGGAAGAGGAUCUUUCCCAGGUGCUGGAAGGCAGGAAACCCCUCCAAGGUGAAAUCCUGGACAGUGGUCUCAUUCCCCAUUUCCAUGUGCAUCUCUUUCCAUAAUAUCAUCACUGCUGGUCUUAACCUACAAUAAAGACAUAAAG
Long non-coding RNA from Suricata suricatta (meerkat), 703 nucleotides. RefSeq lists it as uncharacterized. The transcript has 4 exons. The record is from RefSeq and is a predicted model, not a curated record. NCBI's taxonomy places the organism in Eukaryota, Metazoa, Chordata, Mammalia, Carnivora, Herpestidae.